RNAcentral lists this ribosomal RNA (2239 nucleotides) under Salmonella enterica subsp. enterica serovar Schwarzengrund. RNAcentral describes it as "bacterial LSU rRNA". It matches the Rfam family "Bacterial large subunit ribosomal RNA", at positions 690 to 2904 of the family's 2925-position model. Lineage: Bacteria; Pseudomonadati; Pseudomonadota; Gammaproteobacteria; Enterobacterales; Enterobacteriaceae. The record is from RNAcentral.
GGGCGUUAAGUUGCAGGGUAUAGACCCGAAACCCGGUGAUCUAGCCAUGGGCAGGUUGAAGGUUGGGUAACACUAACUGGAGGACCGAACCGACUAAUGUUGAAAAAUUAGCGGAUGACCUGUGGCUGGGGGUGAAAGGCCAAUCAAACCGGGAGAUAGCUGGUUCUCCCCGAAAGCUAUUUAGGUAGCGCCUCGUGAAUUCAUCUCCGGGGGUAGAGCACUGUUUCGGCUAGGGGGCCAUCCCGGCUUACCAACCCGAUGCAAACUGCGAAUACCGGAGAAUGUUAUCACGGGAGACACACGGCGGGUGCUAACGUCCGUCGUGAAGAGGGAAACAACCCAGACCGCCAGCUAAGGUCCCAAAGUCAUGGUUAAGUGGGAAACGAUGUGGGAAGGCCCAGACAGCCAGGAUGUUGGCUUAGAAGCAGCCAUCAUUUAAAGAAAGCGUAAUAGCUCACUGGUCGAGUCGGCCUGCGCGGAAGAUGUAACGGGGCUAAACCAUGCACCGAAGCUGCGGCAGCGACGCUGAUGCGUUGUUGGGUAGGGGAGCGUUCUGUAAGCCUGCGAAGGUGGCCUGUGAGGGUUGCUGGAGGUAUCAGAAGUGCGAAUGCUGACAUAAGUAACGAUAAAGCGGGUGAAAAGCCCGCUCGCCGGAAGACCAAGGGUUCCUGUCCAACGUUAAUCGGGGCAGGGUGAGUCGACCCCUAAGGCGAGGCCGAAAGGCGUAGUCGAUGGGAAACGGGUUAAUAUUCCCGUACUUGGUGUUACUGCGAAGGGGGGACGGAGAAGGCUAUGUUGGCCGGGCGACGGUUGUCCCGGUUUAAGCGUGUAGGUGUGUGUUCCAGGUAAAUCCGGUUCACUUUAACACUGAGGCGUGAUGACGAGGCACUACGGUGCUGAAGCAACAAAUGCCCUGCUUCCAGGAAAAGCCUCUAAGCAUCAGGUAACAUCAAAUCGUACCCCAAACCGACACAGGUGGUCAGGUAGAGAAUACCAAGGCGCUUGAGAGAACUCGGGUGAAGGAACUAGGCAAAAUGGUGCCGUAACUUCGGGAGAAGGCACGCUGACACGUAGGUGAAGUGAUUUACUCAUGGAGCUGAAGUCAGUCGAAGAUACCAGCUGGCUGCAACUGUUUAUUAAAAACACAGCACUGUGCAAACACGAAAGUGGACGUAUACGGUGUGACGCCUGCCCGGUGCCGGAAGGUUAAUUGAUGGGGUCAGCGCAAGCGAAGCUCCUGAUCGAAGCCCCGGUAAACGGCGGCCGUAACUAUAACGGUCCUAAGGUAGCGAAAUUCCUUGUCGGGUAAGUUCCGACCUGCACGAAUGGCGUAAUGAUGGCCAGGCUGUCUCCACCCGAGACUCAGUGAAAUUGAACUCGCUGUGAAGAUGCAGUGUACCCGCGGCAAGACGGAAAGACCCCGUGAACCUUUACUAUAGCUUGACACUGAACAUUGAGCCUUGAUGUGUAGGAUAGGUGGGAGGCUUUGAAGUGUGGACGCCAGUCUGCAUGGAGCCGGCCUUGAAAUACCACCCUUUAAUGUUUGAUGUUCUAACGUGGACCCGUGAUCCGGGUUGCGGACAGUGUCUGGUGGGUAGUUUGACUGGGGCGGUCUCCUCCUAAAGAGUAACGGAGGAGCACGAAGGUUGGCUAAUCCUGGUCGGACAUCAGGAGGUUAGUGCAAUGGCAUAAGCCAGCUUGACUGCGAGCGUGACGGCGCGAGCAGGUGCGAAAGCAGGUCAUAGUGAUCCGGUGGUUCUGAAUGGAAGGGCCAUCGCUCAACGGAUAAAAGGUACUCCGGGGAUAACAGGCUGAUACCGCCCAAGAGUUCAUAUCGACGGCGGUGUUUGGCACCUCGAUGUCGGCUCAUCACAUCCUGGGGCUGAAGUAGGUCCCAAGGGUAUGGCUGUUCGCCAUUUAAAGUGGUACGCGAGCUGGGUUUAGAACGUCGUGAGACAGUUCGGUCCCUAUCUGCCGUGGGCGCUGGAGAACUGAGGGGGGCUGCUCCUAGUACGAGAGGACCGGAGUGGACGCAUCACUGGUGUUCGGGUUGUCAUGCCAAUGGCACUGCCCGGUAGCUAAAUGCGGAAGAGAUAAGUGCUGAAAGCAUCUAAGCACGAAACUUGCCCCGAGAUGAGUUCUCCCUGAGACUUAGAGUCUCCUGAAGGAACGUUGAAGACGACGACGUUGAUAGGCCGGGUGUGUAAGCGCAGCGAUGCGUUGAGCUAACCGGUACUAA